AUGAAACCCUGAAUAUAUGGAAUGAAACUCUGAGAAUAUGGAAUGAAAUCUGACGUCAUCACGGCGCUGCUGCUGUCUUGUGUUUUAGGUCAUUAUCCGUACAACUCUUGGUGCUGCUAGACGUGUGUGUCACUAUGAGCGAGUCAGCAUGAAAUCUAGUAUCAGUAAUCCUAAAUAAUGAGGAGAUAAUGAACACCCUGGUGAAUAUGUGUAGCAUAGGCCAAAAUAAUACUGGUAAACAUAUUCAACACCGUUCUACAGAUGAAGAGUUUAUUCACUUUUGCAUCAUGGAAGAGUAAUGCGGAACUGAACUAGUUCACUAAAGUUGGAAAAAUAUUGACAGAUUUAAACUUCCCGGAUCAAUAACUCAUAAACGAAAUGUAGUUAAAACACCAACGAGGGCUCUUUUCUAACCGUAGUGAGGUAGACAACCAGCUACAAGCUCAUUUUAAUCACUACGAGCCUUUAGUCCAUGGUCUGUAUGCGGGCCCGCUGUGAGACGAGUGGUCAGGGACCGUCUACGAAGUGCAACGCCGAAAAGAGUUGCUACAAAAAUAUUCAAUAACUCCACUAUUAUACAGUGUAGUGAUACCAAAAUCACUU
Long non-coding RNA from Sebastes umbrosus (honeycomb rockfish), 603 nucleotides. RefSeq lists it as uncharacterized. The record is from RefSeq and is a predicted model, not a curated record. The transcript is spliced from 2 exons. NCBI's taxonomy places the organism in Eukaryota, Metazoa, Chordata, Actinopteri, Perciformes, Sebastidae.